CAGCCGCCGCGGUAAUACCGGCGGCCCGAGUGGCGGUCACUUUUAUUGGGCUUAAAGCGUCCGUAGCCGGGCUGGUAAGUCCUCCGGGAAAUCUGGUCGCUUAACGAUCAGACUUCCGGAGGAUACUGCUGGCCUAGGGACCGGGAGAGGCCGAGGGUAUUUCCGGGGUAGGGGUGUAAUCCUGUAAUCCCGGGAGGACCACCUGUGGCGAAGGCGCUCGGCUGGAACGGGUCCGACGGUGAGGGACGAAGGCCAGAGGAGCGAACCGGAUUAGAUGCCCGGGUAGUCCUGGCUGUAAACGAUGCGGACUAGGUGUCGGGCAAGCUAAGGGCUUGUCCGGUGCCGCAGGGAAGCCGUUAAGUCCGCCGCCUGGGGAGUACGGCCGCAAGGCUGAAACUUAAAGGAAUUGGCGGG
Molecule: ribosomal RNA, 414 nt
Filed under: uncultured microorganism
Description: bacterial SSU rRNA
Rfam family: Archaeal small subunit ribosomal RNA
Source: RNAcentral